This 296-nucleotide signal recognition particle RNA is filed under the name human gut metagenome. RNAcentral's name for it is "Archaeal signal recognition particle RNA". It matches the Rfam family "Archaeal signal recognition particle RNA". The record is from RNAcentral.
CUGGCUUGGCCGGGGUGCUUGGCGUGCCCUAUACCCGAAAUCGUCAAUACGCGGGGGCGACAGCAGGGGACGGCCCCGCUGAACUAUCCAAGCCCACAGAGCGACGAUGAAAUCUUGUCCUGCAGAGUCGGUGUUUGCGCAGGAAGCGGCCGGAGGGUCGCGGUCCACGCAUCAACCGGGGGAACCGGGUCAGGUCCUGACGGGAGCAGCCUCACCUCGGACUACUGACGUUUGCGGGGUGACAGGGUCGAGAAGCGAAGUGGUCAACUUGGACAGAGAGGUAGGGUCAACCCCUG